AAAGAGUUCGAGAGCAGCCGUGAACAUGGUGAUACACGGCUUAUUCGCCAAAGUUCACCUGCUUUCGUUUUGUGAUUACUGGCCAGAAAUAUGGGAAUUCUCAUACCCUAGGACAGUGAAGGAACUAAAGUGCCUGAAGAAAACAAAGCACAUUAAAAAUAAAGAACUGGCUCAGUAUAAUUUGUAAUUAAAGCAUCACUUCCUGCUGAUUAUUUUGUAACUUUAAGAAAUUGGCUAAACUGGGAAAGAAAGCAACUCUUUACAAUUACACUGCCAAGUUCUGAAGAAUGUUUUGCGCCGGUUAAGUUUCCAGUUGCUUUUAAAUUUGACAGCACACCAAAUAUCUGAGUAAUAAAAAGGAUAACUUUAUUAUUAUACUUGGUAUCAUAUUGUUUAACACUUUACUUUGCUUUUCAAGUGAGUAUAUUGGCAAGCUGUGGCAAAGAAUGAAAGUUUUUACUUCAUAAUUCCCUUAAGAGUAAUAAUUCCUUAGCAGACACUAAUUUAAUUUUGCUUCUAUGCUACACA
Molecule: long non-coding RNA, 528 nt
Organism: Pipistrellus kuhlii (Kuhl's pipistrelle)
Lineage: Eukaryota; Metazoa; Chordata; Mammalia; Chiroptera; Vespertilionidae
Exons: 2
Source: RefSeq, a predicted model, not a curated record